CACUUCUUAUUUUGAGACAGGGUCUCCCGAAGUUGCCGAGGCCAGCCUCGAACUUCUGACCCUCCUGCCGCAGCCUCCUGAGUGCCUGGGCUUACAGAGGUGCGCCCCUGUGCCCGGCUGAGCCAGGCCCAUCUAAAGUCCUAAUCCCGAGUCUCCUCCCAGGACUGCAGCUUGGCAACAGCCAGGUGACUCCCCCUCUGGGACUUGUAAUUAGUGCACAGAAAGAGUUCUUUGUGAUCCACAGAUGAAAGGCCCUGGCUAUGCCAUGUCAUCACCACAAUCGGAGUUUCUCCAUCUGUAAAAUGGACUGUAAUGAGCAGCUUGUUCACAGAGCUCCUGAGAUGAAAGGGCCAGGAAGUGGCCGGCCGGAACCAGCCCUGUGCAGGGUGGCCUCCGCCCUGCCCUCCCUCUGCUGCUCCCUGGGCUCCGGUGCCCCUGAGUGGCCAAAGAGGAGGACGGAGGGGCCUGAGCUGGACAGAGCAGGGGUGCUCCUGUGGACUUGCUUCCCUGCCAGAGUUCAUCUGAAGGCAAGGUUCCCAUGGGUUCCACAUGCUCACAAACAGCUGUUUUCUGCUGGGGGAGUAAAUGGGAAAAGGCUCUCCUGGUGUCUUAGCUGUGUGACCUUGGGCAAGCAGCUUCCCAUCUCUGUGCUGUUUUUCUGAACAGUAAAGGGUGAAAAAUACUGCCUCCAAGGUUUGGUGUAAGGAUUAAAU
Molecule: long non-coding RNA, 713 nt
Filed under: Ictidomys tridecemlineatus (thirteen-lined ground squirrel)
Lineage: Eukaryota; Metazoa; Chordata; Mammalia; Rodentia; Sciuridae
Description: lncRNA (ENSSTOG00000030592.1)
Source: RNAcentral